This 746-nucleotide ribosomal RNA is filed under the name Chaetothyriales sp. FGPMC3. Its description in RNAcentral is "SSU rRNA". It matches the Rfam family "Bacterial small subunit ribosomal RNA", at positions 397 to 1193 of the family's 1533-position model. The record is from RNAcentral. Lineage: Eukaryota; Fungi; Ascomycota; Eurotiomycetes; Chaetothyriales.
AUUUGGAAGUACCAGAUAUUUAUAAGUCGCAUAACUUUCUUAUGAGUACACUGCAUUGRUUAAUUUCACGGGAUAAAGCUAUAUCUAGCAUAUAAUACUAGCAUAUUAUGUAACAAUGACGUAUUUUUAUCGAUAAGUCUUGGCCAAGGUACGUGCCGGCACUCGCGGUAAUACGUAGACGACAUAGUGUUGUUCAUCUUUAAUCCGUUUAUUUGGGUACCUAGACGGRAAAUCAAGCCACUGUUAGUGGUACUAAUUUUCUAUGAGUUUUAUGCAAGAAUGUCGAAUAAUUGCAGGAGAGAUAAAMUUUUUUGAUACUAAUUAGACGGGUAACAGUGAAGACUUCAUUCUAUGUAAAAACUGACGUUGAGGAACUGAACUUUGGGUAGCGAUAGGGAUUAGAUACCCUAAUAUUCCUAGGAGAAAAUUAUGAGUGCCAUAGACUAGAGAUAUUUAGUCUAUAAGCUGAAAGUGUAAGCAUUCCACCUCAUGAGUAAAGUGGUAACACCGAAGUUGAAAUCAUUAGACCGUGUCUGAAACCAGUAGUGAAGUAUGUUAUUUAAUUCGAUAGUACGCGAAUAACCUUACCGCACCUUGAAUUAUCAGCCAGCGUUGCAUGGCUGUCUUAMGUUAAUGUCGUGAGAUUUGCUUCAUUCCUUUAAUUAACGCAAAUCCCCUGUUUUAAUUUAAAUUAGAUCAUACUUAUCUAUAUCUCGUAUACGUUUMUMGGGACCAACACGAGUCAU